Long non-coding RNA from Sarcophilus harrisii (Tasmanian devil), 358 nucleotides. RefSeq lists it as uncharacterized. The transcript is spliced from 4 exons. Lineage: Eukaryota; Metazoa; Chordata; Mammalia; Dasyuromorphia; Dasyuridae. The record is from RefSeq and is a predicted model, not a curated record.
GAAAAAUUUUGGAAAACAAGAUUUUAUAAGGAAACUUGAUGCUGUGCUGAAAUUACAGGGAAUACAAAGAAAAGAAAUACAUCUUUGAUCUCAUAGACCCUUAAAAAUGGGGAGUAAAAUGACAGAAAAGCCAGAUAACAGCAUAAAUCAUUCUUGAUGAUUCAUUUAGGGAUCCAGCCUCUGCAAUGGGAAAGACAUAAGCCAUAUCAAUUCCAAAGGAUAAAGAACCAAGAGAAAAUGAAGGACUCCUUAAACACUUUGGAGACAAUGGGUCCCAUUUCCUAGGUUUAAUGGGAAAAUAUAGACAGUCAGGUACCAAUAAGAGAUUUUGGAAUCUUGGGAACAAGAUUCCAAAUAA